This 503-nucleotide long non-coding RNA is filed under the name Mytilus galloprovincialis (Mediterranean mussel). Lineage: Eukaryota; Metazoa; Mollusca; Bivalvia; Mytilida; Mytilidae. The record is from RNAcentral.
CUUGCCGGACCUACUCCUUUGAGUAUAUGUUUAAAACUAUCAUUUCGAUGACCUUCAGAAGCACAAUGACUUAAUGAUGCAGGACCUCUUUAAUUAAAUCUUCAGUAUUAUCGGUCCUCGUAUCUUUCUGUUUACAUUCACCAAAAGCCCGCGGAAAUCUCACAUGCGUAGGUGCGUUCUAAAAGUCAUGUACGUUCGUACAACAAAGUUUACAUUAAAAAUUAUAUAAUUGUCCCGAAUAAACAGCUGUCAUGGAUGCAAAGAGCUAUUGGAGAAACAAUUAUUUUAAUUAAAUAUAAAUCUUUGUAAGAUCUAGUUCAAAUAUUUAUAGUUUUUCACUAGCUUUCCAUCACGAUAUAAUUAACGAGACGUUUUUUCAAACACAACAAAUCACCCACCAUGACAGCAUUUUGUCCAAUCACAGAAAGGAUUUUCGAGCAUGCGUAUUCUGUUGCCAUAAUUAAGCGUCCUUAAGUUCCAAGGGCAAAAACCGAAACAAUACC